Molecule: ribosomal RNA, 490 nt
Filed under: uncultured bacterium
Lineage: Bacteria
Description: partial 16S ribosomal RNA
Rfam family: Bacterial small subunit ribosomal RNA
Source: RNAcentral
AUUGAACGCUGGCGGCAGGCCUAACACAUGCAAGUCGAACGGUAACAGGAAGAAGCUUGCUUCUUUGCUGACGAGUGGCGGACGGGUGAGUAAUGUCUGGGAAACUGCCUGAUGGAGGGGGAUAACUACUGGAAACGGUAGCUAAUACCGCAUAACGUCGCAAGACCAAAGAGGGGGACCUUCGUGCCUCUUGCCAUCGGAUGUGCCCAGAUGGGAUUAGCUAGUAGGUGGGGUAACGGCUCACCUAGGCGACGAUCCCUAGCUGGUCUGAGAGGAUGACCAGCCACACUGGAACUGAGACACGGUCCAGACUCCUACGGGAGGCAGCAGUGGGGAAUAUUGCACAAUGGGCGCAAGCCUGAUGCAGCCAUGCCGCGUGUAUGAAGAAGGCCUUCGGGUUGUAAAGUACUUUCAGCGGGGAGGAAGGGAGUAAAGUUAAUACCUUUACUCAUUGACGUUACCCGCAGAAGAAGCACCGGCUAACUCCGUG